This 253-nucleotide ribosomal RNA is filed under the name uncultured prokaryote. RNAcentral's name for it is "partial 16S ribosomal RNA". It matches the Rfam family "Bacterial small subunit ribosomal RNA", at positions 525 to 777 of the family's 1533-position model. The record is from RNAcentral.
ACGUAGGAGACGAGCGUUGUCCGGAGUUACUGGGCGUAAAGGGUGCGCAGGUGGCGGCGCGCGUGGGGGGUGAAAUCGCCCGGCUUAACUGGGCGGGGGCCUUCCAGACGGCGUGGCUUGAGCAGCGGAGGGGGACGUGGAAUUCCGGGUGGAGCGGUGAAAUGCGUAGAGAUCGGGAGGAACACCGACGGCGAAGGCAGCGCCCUGGACGAGACCUGACGCUCAGGCACGAAAGCUGGGGGAGCAAACAGGA